RNAcentral lists this ribosomal RNA (254 nucleotides) under uncultured bacterium. RNAcentral's name for it is "partial 16S ribosomal RNA". It matches the Rfam family "Bacterial small subunit ribosomal RNA", at positions 524 to 777 of the family's 1533-position model. The record is from RNAcentral.
UACGGAGGGUGCAAGCGUUAAUCGGAAUUACUGGGCGUAAAGCGCACGCAGGUGGCUGAGUCAGUCGAUUGUGAAAGCCCUGGGCUUAACCUGGGAAUUGCAGUCGAUACUACUCAGCUAGAGUAUGGGAGAGGGCAGUGGAAUUCCCGGUGUAGCGGUGAAAUGCGUAGAUAUCUGGAGGAACACCGGUGGCGAAGGCGGCAUCCUGGACCGAUACUGACGCUGAGGAGCGAAAGCCAGGGGAGCAAAGCGGG